This 776-nucleotide ribosomal RNA is filed under the name uncultured Neocallimastigales. Its description in RNAcentral is "partial large subunit ribosomal RNA". It matches the Rfam family "Eukaryotic large subunit ribosomal RNA", at positions 22 to 644 of the family's 3401-position model. The record is from RNAcentral. Lineage: Eukaryota; Fungi; Neocallimastigomycota; Neocallimastigomycetes; Neocallimastigales.
GUACACGCUGUGACUAGCAUAUCAAUAAGCGGAGGAAAAGAAACUAACAAGGAUUCCCCUAGUAACGGCGAGUGAAGCGGGAAGAGCUCAAAUUUGAAAUCAUAAAGGGUUUCCCUUUACGAAUUGUAGUUUAAAGAAGUGUUUUCUGUUGAGGUUUUGGUAAAAGUUCUUUGGAAUAGGACAUCAUAGAGGGUGAGAAUCCCGUAUUUGACCUUUACUUUCAACUUUGUGAUACACUUUCAAAGAGUCGGAUUGUUUGGGAAUGCAGUCCAAAAUGGGUAGUAAAUUUCAUCUAAAGCUAAAUAUUGGCGAGAGACCGAUAGCGAACAAGUACCGUGAGGGAAAGAUGAAAAGAACUUUGAAAAGAGAGUUAAACAGUACGUGAAAUUGUCAAAAGGGAAGCGUUUGACACCAGUGUUGUUUUUCUGAAAAUCAAUUAAAGAACUGUUUAUGCUAAGUUGUUUAGACUUUAUCAGCUAACUGUUUAGUUUUGAGGCCUUUUCUUUAAUGCACUUUUCAGUUAACAAGUCAACAUCAAUUUCUUUUGCUGUAAAAAAGCUUGAGGAAGGUGGCUUGAGAUUCGUCUUAAGUGUUUAUAGCCUCUUGCCUAUGCAGUCGGAGAGAUUGAGGUCUGCAGCGUAGAUCCUUCGGGGCUAAAUGCAUUUGUGCUAAGUUAUAGCAUUUUAUAGACAACUUGUUGACUAUGAUUUGUCUUGUAGCUUACUCGCUUAUGUUAUUUUACCUACGCUUAGGAUGUUGAACUACUGAGACAUAGA